CAAGUCGAACGGUAGCAGGAAGAAGCUUGCUUCUUUGCUGACGAGUGCCGUACGGGUGAGUAAUGCUUGGGAAUUUGCCUUUGCGAGGGGGAUAACAGUUGGAAACGACUGCUAAUACCGCAUGAUGUCUACGGACCAAAGGGGGCUUUUAGCUCUCGCGCAAAGAGGAGCCCAAGUGAGAUUAGCUAGUUGGUGAGGUAAGGGCUCACCAAGGCGACGAUCUCUAGCUGUUCUGAGAGGAAGAUCAGCCACACUGGGACUGAGACACGGCCCAGACUCCUACGGGAGGCAGCAGUGGGGAAUAUUGCACAAUGGGGGAAACCCUGAUGCAGCCAUGCCGCGUGUGUGAAGAAGGCCUUCGGGUUGUAAAGCACUUUCAGUUGUGAGGAAAGGUUGGUAGUUAAUACCUGCCAGCUGUGACGUUAACAACAGAAGAAGCACCGGCUAACUCCGUGCCAGCAGCCGCGGUAAUACGGAGGGUGCGAGCGUUAAUCGGAAUUACUGGGCGUAAAGCGCACGCAGGCGGUUUGUUAAGCUAGAUGUGAAAGCCCCGGGCUCAACCUGGGAAUAGCAUUUAGAACUGGCAAGCUAGAGUCUUGGAGAGGGGGGUGGAAUUCCAGGUGUAGCGGUGAAAUGCGUAGAUAUCUGGAGGAACAUCAGUGGCGAAGGCGGCCCCCUGGCCAAAGACUGACGCUCAUGUGCGAAAGUGUGGGUAGCGAACAGGAUUAGAUACCCUGGUAGUCCACACCGUAAACGCUGUCUACUAGCUGUUUGUGCGAUUUAAGCGUGAGUAGCGAAGCUAACGCGAUAAGUAGACCGCCUGGGGAGUACGGCCGCAAGGNUUAAACUCAAAUGAAUUGACGGGGG
RNAcentral lists this ribosomal RNA (867 nucleotides) under uncultured bacterium. RNAcentral's name for it is "bacterial SSU rRNA". It matches the Rfam family "Bacterial small subunit ribosomal RNA", at positions 58 to 919 of the family's 1533-position model. The record is from RNAcentral.